UACGGGGGGGGCAAGCGUUGUUCGGAAUUACUGGGCGUAAAGGGUGCGUAGGCGGCUUUCUAAGUUGGAUGUGAAAACUAUGGGCUCAACCCAUAGCCUGCAUCCAAAACUGGAGAGCUUGAGUUCUGGAGGGGAAAGCGGAAUUCCUGGUGUAGCGGUGAAAUGCGUAGAUAUCAGGAGGAACACCGGUGGCGAAGGCGGCUUUCUGGACAGACACCGACGCUGAGGCACGAAAGCUAGGGGAGCAAACAGG
RNAcentral lists this ribosomal RNA (253 nucleotides) under uncultured bacterium. Its description in RNAcentral is "partial 16S ribosomal RNA". It matches the Rfam family "Bacterial small subunit ribosomal RNA", at positions 524 to 776 of the family's 1533-position model. The record is from RNAcentral.